CAUCGCACCCAUGCAAUCGGCAACGUGCUUGCCCAUCGUACAUGCGAGAACCCCGAGCCUCGGCAACAGCACAAUAUUGUGGAAAGCCGAAACAUAAAUAGGAGUCCUGAAGGCUUAUGAAUGAUUUUAAGACAUUGAACAAUUUGGUCCCG
Molecule: non-coding RNA, 152 nt
Submitted as: unclassified sequences
Source: Rfam